This 253-nucleotide ribosomal RNA is filed under the name Lophodermium pini-excelsae. RNAcentral describes it as "partial 18S ribosomal RNA". Lineage: Eukaryota; Fungi; Ascomycota; Leotiomycetes; Rhytismatales; Rhytismataceae. The record is from RNAcentral.
UGGAAGUAAAAGUGGUAACAAGGUUUCCGUAGGUAGAGUUUUGCCUACUACAGCACGCCCACCCGGCGCUUGCUAGUCUCGCGAGAGGCGACACGCUAAAUGUGCGGAGAGUCCUGGCUCGCCAGGUAAUCCGCAGUCACCCUCGGGUGAUUCAGAGACUCAAUGAGCGUGGGUUCUUUUUAAAGAGCUUGAGAUAGAGCCCGUCCUCGCUGGUCACGGCGGGGGUUCAACGGAACCUGCGGAAGGAUCAUUA